RNAcentral lists this long non-coding RNA (453 nucleotides) under Setaria viridis. RNAcentral describes it as "long non-coding RNA (SVIR_LNC006285)". The record is from RNAcentral. Lineage: Eukaryota; Viridiplantae; Streptophyta; Magnoliopsida; Poales; Poaceae.
UUUUCUUGGCGCCGGUUACUGACGGCGACAGAUUGAGCAGCGGUAAAACUGCGCGCGUCGGGCGGUUGUGUUCGUAGUAUGCUAUCAGAUAAAAGCAGUGCAUCUCCUUUUGCUUGCUAUAUCCUGGUGUUUCAGUAGUGGGUCAAAUCAAAUCUUGAGACACGCAUGUGGUGGAAAAGGAUAGAGAUGAGGGGGGUAGACUUGAGGGCACAAGAAAGGUCAACCAUUUUAUUAUUAGUAUAUAGUAUUAUCAGAUUUUCUUUAGGUUGAAGCAAAUAAAGUGGGGAAAAAAUGUGCCGGCUAACUUUUGCAAAUCAAUGGUGCGAGAGAACUUCGCUCUGUCGAUUUAUGAACUUGUUCUGUUGCUGUCAUUGGUUCGAAAGAUUAAGCAAAGGAAUCAAGGGGGGGAUUUGUCAUGGAAAAAAAAAUUCUUCCUUCUAGUCCCAAAUCCAU